UGUUCAUUUCUCUCAGUGUACGCAUAUGUAGGUCUUCUUUUGUACCAGUAUAUGUAUCUCGGAACUCUUAUCGUAUACUGCAAUUUUCAUACACAUCGUAUCGUAUAGAUUUUUGUGUAAUUUUAUUACAUUUAUUAAUGAUAAAUCAAUGAUCGAUGGGGAAGGUGCUGCGGAGGGGGUUUAGGUUUAUGAGGGGGUUUUGAAGUCAUUGCGCUUACAGUUGCAGCAUUCGCAAUACACAUGACUGUGCAACUGUUGCGCGCUCUGCCGUUGUUGCUGUUUUUCGUUUUUCUUUUUUUGAGCAAGGGCUAUUGUAGAAUAUUCGUAUGUGGUGCUGCUCUCCAGAGACACUACACAUGUGUGUGUGUGUGUGAGUUGUGCACUUUAUGAGAUAAUACCUUGAACGUGCGUCAGUCAGGUCGUUGGCGCCGCCUUACAACUACACGACAAUUGCUGUAGUAACCGUAACCCGAAUGAAAUGAAAAGUGUGUAAAGAUUUAGCAGGCAGUUCCAUAGUUGCACAGUUCCCUUUUGAUCUAAAAUGCGGAAUCAGGCUUUAUCUUACAUUCGGCAUUAGUCAUCUUUGAGUAAAGACUGCAAAUGACACGUUCCACCAUUUUGGACAAUCUAACUGCGCAUUUAGGCAGGUAAAGAAACAGAUAUUGAGGGAGUCGCAGAGAAGGAGAAGCAAGAGCAAGAGCAAGAGAGAGAGCGAGACAUGGAGAUGGAGAGGGAGAGGAAGAUAGUUGGAAACAAAGACCAAUCAAAGUUCAUACGAAAAAUAAUCAAAGCAAAUGCAAAACACACAAAAAAAAAACACUAGCAAAAAACCAGAAAAAGAAGAAGACAAACAUUAAAACUCAUUUACAUGCUGUUACCGAGUGAGAGAGGGCUGUGAGUGGCUAUGCGAGGGGAAGAUUGAGUGAGUGCAUCGCAGAGCGGAGCGUGCAGUGUUCUUGAGUUUAAAUGUGAGCGUUCGCCCUGCGUGGGGAAAUCGAAUCCACCACAAAGAGAGGGCCCUCGUUAAUGAGCAGGAAAUGCAAUUUCUCAAGCUCAUUUGGUGGAUUAAUGAGUCGCCGAGUGAGUUUUUUGGACUCCCCCCACUCCUACCAGAGCGCAGUAUGCAGAUUAAUAUGCUUAUAGUUUCAUGUAAUCAUUAUUUGGCAUAAUUAGGGGAAAUCCCUACUUUGGGAAAAAGCAGUGGAAGCAAUUAAAAUAAAUAUUUUAUAUAGUUUCCCGUUUUAAGGCUUAUCAAAUAAUAAAUUCUCUUGGAAACAUUAAUUUCCGAGUAGAAGAGAGAGACAGCUCCCUCAAGCUAGUCACCCCUAACCCUACUCAACCCCACACCCCCCUCUCAGAACAAAACACAAAAAAAAAUAAAAUGCAGCUAAUUGCUGUGACUGCGACGUCGACGGCGGCAGCAGCGCAGCAGCAGCAGCAGCAAUGCACUUCUUUGGCAGUGUGCGUGAGUGGCACAAAAAAAUGUGGUGAAUAAAUUUGCGAGAUGAUUAUUUCCAUGUGUUUGUGUCUACAUAUGAUAUGACUUUGUGUUGGCUUUGUUCUAGGCAACAACAUAGCUGUGUGUGUGUGUGUGUGUGUGUGAGUGGCAGAGCAAAUAAUUUGAGUGACUUUUUUGUGUGUGUUAAUUGUAAGCCACAUUUCUUAGGACAAUUGUCAACAAUGUCAAAAGCUUCGCUAGAGCGCAGGAGGUGGCGUGCGGGGUCGACAAAGCCCGAACCGCAACCGAUGCCGAAGCCGAAGCCAAAACCGAAGCGACGCCGGCUAUUUUGGCAGCUGAGCGCGCAGUCGGCUGUUCGCUUUUUUAUCAACGCGCGCUGGCAUCGCUGCAAUUGCAUUGCCCUGCUGCUGCUGCUGCACUUGCUCUGCUCUCCCUCUGGCUGGCGCUCUCAAGCUCUAGCUUGCUCUCUCGGGCCCAGGCUCGCUCUGCGGUUCUGGUGCAGUCUCUCUAGCUCUGGCUGUUCCUUAACCUUAACCCCUCCUCUAGCCUCUAGCGGAGUCUCUCUCUCUCUGUCUCUCUCUAAGUCUACCUGAGUCGCAGACUAUAAUUUACCCCGCUCGCUCUCUAGCCCAGGCUCAGGCCUGUUCCUGGUCUUACCCCAUUACUCCUAAAGUUUUCGCGUAUGCGCUUUGCUCAAACGACUCAAAAUGCCUGCUCUCCAUGCAGUACGAAUUUGUUCUCACUCAGAGCCUCCCCUCCAGCUCUCAUUCUCACUCACUAUCUCUCUCGCUCUCUGUCUCUGUCUCUGCCUCUCAUUCUGGCCCAGCUCUCUCAGUAUUCUAGCUUUGUUGUAGUUGUUGCUGGCAGCUUUUUUUUUUGCUUUUGUCGAGUCCGAAUGCGCUUGUAUGCAAUUUUUGAACGUGCGGCGGCAGCGUCGACGCCAGCGCCAACGCCAGCGCCGUGGCUCCGUGUGUCUUCGUGUGUUGUUGUGAUAUAAUUUUGCAGUCGGCUGCGGCAGUCGCAUAAACACAACGCAUCCGAUAUGCAACGGAACGCAUUUUCGGACGCGGCCCGAGUCGUUCCGAGGUGUAGCGUCCGCCCGAUCGCGUAUAUCAAUCGUAAAGCACUAAGCGCAUUGCCCAUUUACACGCAGGCCAUCAGGCCACACGAAAAUCGUUUUGCACACCCCGAAACAUAUUUGGCAUUGAUAAAGCGAAUAGCUAACAGUUAUUACAGGAAAACAGUUAACCAUAACCCAACAAAAAGUGAUUAAAAAUAAAAAAAACAAAACCAAUUAAAACAAAAUAUUCUAAAAAAUCUACAUAUUUGAAGAGAAUACUCUUCGAGCUCAGAAGAACCAAAAAUCAAGUGGUGAAAACUUUCAAAAGCGCUGUUUUUGAGAACAAAAUAAAACGGAAGAAUGAUAUGUUUUAGUGUGUCUGUGAAUUGCGUAUACGCCGCGCGAGUGUUGCUAAUUUUUGGGCCAUCGCAGCGUUGGUCACACUAAUCAGCAUCAGCAUGUGAAAUAUAGAGCCUUUGGGCCCUGCCAUGCCUCGACCAACAAAAUUUCUGUGGAAAAGCCAUAUGAUCACACGCCUUGCUUGGGUCACUCGUCCUCAACGAUUUUUUGGCCUGGACACACUCCCUUUGAGGCACAUACGCACACUGGAGACACCCCUUCCCACGCACCAGCCUCCCCCCUUCCUACGCCCACCCACUCAUCAAUCCCGCUCAUUUGUUUGACUGUUUUUUUUCGGACAAAAAACAACAAUAAUAUCAUGGCAAUCGCCGCUUGUCUCAUUUACGCUUAUUUCUCUUUGUGUGCGUGUGUCUGUGCGUGUGUGUGGCGAGAGUGUGGCGACGCUGACGUUGACGCCACCGCCAACAGCCACGUUGACGUCGCCGUCGACGUCGCUGCUGUCAUGCAAAAUGCGGAAAAGUUUUUUUCGCGCACUCGCAAAAUUUUUAUAGAAUGCAUUUUUAUUUCGGUCUUUUGGUUGAAUAGUUGCAUUGCCCGGCUCAAAUAAAAAACAACAACAACAGCAGCAGCAACAACAACAUUUUUGUUAGUAAAUUUAUGUUGAAUUAAAUACAAUAUACAAAACAAAACAAAAAGUGCAAUCCCAUCAACAACAAAAAAACAAAUAAACAAAAUAUUAAGAACUUAAAAAUAAUUAGAAAAGUAGCCACAUUACUUUUGAAUUAUUUUUAAAACACAAGAGAGGAAAAA
Molecule: long non-coding RNA, 3689 nt
Organism: Drosophila miranda
Lineage: Eukaryota; Metazoa; Arthropoda; Insecta; Diptera; Drosophilidae
Exons: 2
Source: RefSeq, a predicted model, not a curated record